Molecule: ribosomal RNA, 489 nt
Filed under: Salmonella enterica subsp. enterica serovar Hartford
Lineage: Bacteria; Pseudomonadati; Pseudomonadota; Gammaproteobacteria; Enterobacterales; Enterobacteriaceae
Description: bacterial SSU rRNA
Rfam family: Bacterial small subunit ribosomal RNA
Source: RNAcentral
UCAGAUUGAACGCUGGCGGCAGGCCUAACACAUGCAAGUCGAACGGUAACAGGAAGCAGCUUGCUGCUUCGCUGACGAGUGGCGGACGGGUGAGUAAUGUCUGGGAAACUGCCUGAUGGAGGGGGAUAACUACUGGAAACGGUGGCUAAUACCGCAUAACGUCGCAAGACCAAAGAGGGGGACCUUCGGGCCUCUUGCCAUCAGAUGUGCCCAGAUGGGAUUAGCUAGUUGGUGAGGUAACGGCUCACCAAGGCGACGAUCCCUAGCUGGUCUGAGAGGAUGACCAGCCACACUGGAACUGAGACACGGUCCAGACUCCUACGGGAGGCAGCAGUGGGGAAUAUUGCACAAUGGGCGCAAGCCUGAUGCAGCCAUGCCGCGUGUAUGAAGAAGGCCUUCGGGUUGUAAAGUACUUUCAGCGGGGAGGAAGGUGUUGUGGUUAAUAACCGCAGCAAUUGACGUUACCCGCAGAAGAAGCACCGGCUAACU